Molecule: ribosomal RNA, 497 nt
Filed under: uncultured bacterium
Lineage: Bacteria
Description: partial 16S ribosomal RNA
Rfam family: Bacterial small subunit ribosomal RNA
Source: RNAcentral
GAUGAACGCUGGCGGCGUGCCUAAUACAUGCAAGUCGAGCGAACAGAUAAGGAGCUUGCUCCUUUGACGUUAGCGGCGGACGGGUGAGUAACACGUGGAUAACCUACCUAUAAGACUGGGAUAACUUCGGAAAACCGGAGCUAAUACCGGAUAACAUAUUGAACCGCAUGGUUCAAUAGUGAAUGGCGGCUUUGCUGUCACUUAUAGAUGGAUCCGCGCCGUAUUAGCUAGUUGGUAAGGUAACGGCUUACCAAGGCAACGAUACGUAGCCGACCUGAGAGGGUGAUCGGCCACACUGGAACUGAGACACGGUCCAGACUCCUACGGGAGGCAGCAGUAGGGAAUCUUCGGCAAUGGGCGAAAGCCUGACGGAGCAACGCCGCGUGAGUGAUGAAGGUCUUCGGAUCGUAAAACUCUGUUAUCAGGGAAGAACAAAUGUGGAAGUAACUGUGCACAUCUUGACGGUACCUGAUCAGAAAGCCACGGCUAACUACGUG